UACAGAGGUCUCAAGCGUUGUUCGGAUUCAUUGGGCGUAAAGGGUGUGUAGGUGGCGCGCUAAGUCGGGUGUGAAAUUUCGGAGCUUAACUCCGAAACUGCAUUCGAUACUGCCGUGCUUGAGGACUGGAGAGGAGACUGGAAUUUACGGUGUAGCGGUGGAAUGCGCAGAUAUCAGGAGGAACACCGGUGGCGAAGGCGGGUCUCUGGGCAGUAACUGACGCUGAGGAGCGAAAGCGUGGGGAGCGAACAGG
This 253-nucleotide ribosomal RNA is filed under the name uncultured bacterium. RNAcentral describes it as "partial 16S ribosomal RNA". It matches the Rfam family "Bacterial small subunit ribosomal RNA", at positions 524 to 776 of the family's 1533-position model. The record is from RNAcentral.